Long non-coding RNA from Oncorhynchus tshawytscha (Chinook salmon), 272 nucleotides. The record is from Ensembl. Lineage: Eukaryota; Metazoa; Chordata; Actinopteri; Salmoniformes; Salmonidae.
UAUGGUCCUCCGGUUUACGAGUCACCCUCAUCGCCAGGCACUUCAGUAAAUUCACCGGCACCCGCUUCCUCAAGAGAGGAGCCAACUGCGAGGUACCCCUCCACCACAUCCCGUUGCCAUGAUAACAGGACAAACUCUGGAAACGAGAGAAGAGGAAGCAUGAUAAGAUCCUUCCUGAGGAGCUCUUCCCAGCAGUCAUCAACCUCAACCAGUUCCUCUCUCCAGAACAUUACAUUGACUACAUCGCCUGGGACAUGGCCCGGAACUGCAAG